UACGUGUACAUAAUAGUUUAUGCACGCAUAAUGUGGUGAAGUAUGAUUUGAUCAGAAUUUAUUCGACCAAAAAAAAAAAAAAAAAAAAAAAAAAACCACCCUUCCCUCUUUUUAACACUUCGUACGUACGUAAACCAUAUAACUCCAUUAUGUACAAGCAGCAAUAUUCAAAAUAUAAAAUUCCCCCACUUCAUUUUUGCCACCUCACCAAUCUAUAAAUGGUGAGGUACAACAAACAUUUUCCUAAAUCUGAAUUCAGCCACAUUAUCCCUUUUACACACUCUGCUCUGGUUAUUGCUAGGUGGGUUGAAAGAUCUAAAGCCACUAUAUGCUUGUAGACAAUGUGAAAACGUUGAGAUAAAACCUCAAUUCUCAGACCAAUGUUCUAAAAUUCAGCUUUCAUCACUUCAUUAGUAAAUUUCAAAGCAAGAAAUAAAAAUAAUUCAAAAUGGCUUUCUUCAGAGAAUGCUUUCACUGCAAAAAACUGGAAAUGCUCCAAAAUGGAUGUACUGAGAUUGAACCCGUGUAUACAAACAGGUAGCAAGAUUGAGAAUCAACAGCAAAAGAAUGAGAUGGGGGAAAUUUGGAACACAAUAUUUGAUAGGACUGGACAAUACAAUAGACAAGAUUUCUUUUCCCCCUUGAUAACGAUAAAGUAAUGUCGGGUAACA
Molecule: long non-coding RNA, 671 nt
Filed under: Olea europaea subsp. europaea
Lineage: Eukaryota; Viridiplantae; Streptophyta; Magnoliopsida; Lamiales; Oleaceae
Source: RNAcentral